CCAGUUUUGCUUGGGUGACACGAAGGAGGGGAGGGAAUGGGGAAGAAGAGGAGAGACAUCGGGGAGAAGGAAUGGGGGCAGCCCUGCACGGUGGCCGGGGCGCCAGGGGUCUCCUUUCGUUUUCUCAAAGAGAAUUUUCACGCAGAGCCUCGCUAUCCCGGCUGGGAAGCCCAGUCGCUCACAAGCCAAUGUUGAAGCAGCGCAGGCGCAAGGCGCUGCUGCCACGAACACGGUCACCACCUCGGAACUGAGCACUGUUGAGGAGCCUGCCCUGGAGAAGCCUCUGCCCGGUGCUUGGAGACGUGCCCCUCUGGCCUCUGCCUGGACCUUGGAGGGCACCGGCCGCUGAGGCUCAGACCUUGCACUGGGCUCCAGGAGGGACCCCGGCUCAGCGUCAGCCCUGGCUAGAAGCGAGGGACCAAGGACCCAGCCGGAACCACCAGGACCCGAUGACGGCUCAAGCCACCCAAGGCACAAAGGCGCCACAAGCCACUGUUCCAUAAACCAAAGCCAAACGAGCUCCCCUCCAAGGACCCCCGAGGAGCCCAGACUGCAAGGAGCGGCUGUGCCCACACCUGAGCGACCCAGGGACCGACACCCGGAGCGGAGCAGACCAGACCCCCUGAAUCACAGAUGCCCACGGUGUGACUCUGAAUACACC
Molecule: long non-coding RNA, 661 nt
Organism: Neomonachus schauinslandi (Hawaiian monk seal)
Lineage: Eukaryota; Metazoa; Chordata; Mammalia; Carnivora; Phocidae
Exons: 4
Source: RefSeq, a predicted model, not a curated record